This is a long non-coding RNA of Brassica napus (rape), 619 nucleotides long. RefSeq lists it as uncharacterized. The transcript is spliced from 2 exons. The record is from RefSeq and is a predicted model, not a curated record. Lineage: Eukaryota; Viridiplantae; Streptophyta; Magnoliopsida; Brassicales; Brassicaceae.
UUCGAUUCUUUCGGGGUGUUAUAUUCACGAUUAGUUCCAUGUUUGAUUUUAUUGCUCGUUCUAUGCUGAAGUUUAUAUGCACGCUUAGUCUCUAUUUCGUUAUGCAUAGUUAGUUUUUGAGUUGCUGAUUUCUAAUUGUGAUGUAGCCUUGUUUAGAGGUUUUUUAUCACUUAAUUCAUCUUUGAGUAAUCUGCGUAGUUCAUAAGUAUAGAGAUUCGUCAUCUCUCAGUCAUACCUGUUGCAAAGAUUAGAGAUGUUGCUUGGAACAUGCGGCCUCGGUUGCGAAAACAUUCUUAAUGUCUGACUGUGUGGUUGUUGAGACUAAGGAGCAAAAACUAAUUCCUGCUGGUAACCCAAUGGACAAUUCAGGAUAUGGAUACUGAGAUAGACCAGCCGGAUUUACUCUUGAAGAUGAGAGAUAAAUGAACAUUCUGAAACGAGAGUAGUUCACCUACAGAUUAAUUUUAGCUUGCAAACAAACGUUGAUGUGCUAAGUGUAAUGAUUAUUUGAACCAGAGCAUAACAUGUUAAAAGUAUUCAGGAGUAACAUUGUUGUAUCUUAAGUCUAACAUGUACAUUUUAGCCACUUUUUUGAGAUAUCAUAAUCCUAUGUAAGACU